ACCUACGGGGGGCAGCAGUGGGGGAUAUUGCACAAUGGGGGAAACCCUGAUGCAGCGACGCCGCGUGAGUGAAGAAGUAAUUCGUUACGUAAAGCUCUAUCAGCAGGGAAGAAAAUGACGGUACCUGACUAAGAAGCCCCGGCUAACUACGUGCCAGCAGCCGCGGUAAUACGUAGGGAGCGAGCGUUAUCCGGAUUUAUUGGGUGUAAAGGGUGCGUAGGCGGCUUCUUAAGUCUGUAGUCUAAGCCCGGAGCUUAACUCCGGUUCGCUACAGAAACUGAUUAGCUUGAGUAUGGUAGAGGCAA
Molecule: ribosomal RNA, 305 nt
Filed under: uncultured bacterium
Lineage: Bacteria
Description: bacterial SSU rRNA
Rfam family: Bacterial small subunit ribosomal RNA
Source: RNAcentral